GCCUGCGGAAGGAUCAUUACCGAGUUUUCGAGCUCCGGCUCGACUCUCCCACCCUUUGUGAACGUACCUCUGUUGCUUUGGCGGCUCCGGCCGCCAAAGGACCUUCAAACUCCAGUCAGUAAACGCAGACGUCUGAUAAACAAGUUAAUAAACUAAAACUUUCAACAACGGAUCUCUUGGUUCUGGCAUCGAUGAAGAACGCAGCGAAAUGCGAUAAGUAAUGUGAAUUGCAGAAUUCAGUGAAUCAUCGAAUCUUUGAACGCACAUUGCGCCCCUUGGUAUUCCGGGGGGCAUGCCUGUUCGAGCGUCAUUACAACCCUCAAGCUCUGCUUGGAAUUGGGCACCGUCCUCACUGCGGACGCGCCUCAAAGACCUCGGCGGUGGCUGUUCAGCCCUCAAGCGUAGUAGAAUACACCUCGCUUUGGAGCGGUUGGCGUCGCCCGCCGGACGAACCUUCUGAACUUUUCUCAAGGUUGACCUCGGAUCAGGUAGGGAUACCCGCUGAACUUAAGCAUAUCAA
This 520-nucleotide ribosomal RNA is filed under the name Lasiodiplodia theobromae. RNAcentral's name for it is "eukaryotic LSU rRNA". The stretch from base 157 to 310 matches the Rfam family "5.8S ribosomal RNA". The record is from RNAcentral. Lineage: Eukaryota; Fungi; Ascomycota; Dothideomycetes; Botryosphaeriales; Botryosphaeriaceae.